UGAUAUCAGGCAUAUACCCAAAACAUCUAGCCACGCCACCCCCACAAGGGCUCACAGCAGUGAUUAACAUUAAAAAUAAACGCAAGUUUGAUUUAGCCAAAUGAAAACAGAGCCGGCCAAUCUAGUGCCAGCCGCCGCGGUUACACUACAUGACUCAAAUUGAUUUCUAAACGGCGUAAAGCGUGAUUAAAGAACCUGACUAUUGGGGCCAAACUUAGAUUAACCUGUAAAACGAUUAUUCUUAAGAAGAUCUCCCUCGAAAGACACCCCAACUCACCAACUUGAACUCACAACAACUAGAACACAAACUGGGAUUAGAUACCCCACUAUCUCUAUUUAUAAACUUUAACUUACACCCCCAUCGCCAGGGAACUACGAGCAAAGCUUAAAACCCAAAGGACUUGACGGUACCCCACAUCCCCCUAGAGGAGCCUGUCCUACAACCGAUUCCCCCCGUUUUACCUCACCAUUUUUAGUCUAUCAGCUUGUAUACUUCCGUCGUCAGCCUACCGCAUGAGCGAACAAGUCGGCUUAAUAUAUCCACCAAUACGUCAGGUCAAAGUGCAGCUCAUAAAAUGGCAAGAGAUGGGCUACACUCUCUAACUUAGAAGAUACGAAAGGCUAUGUGAAACCAUAGCCAGAAGGCGGAUUUAGCAGUAAGGGGGGAACAGAAUACCCCUCUUAACUCUGAUACUGGGGUGCGUACACACCGCCCGUCACCCUCUUCAACAAGCCCCCCCCCC
Molecule: ribosomal RNA, 743 nt
Filed under: Pristimantis trachyblepharis
Lineage: Eukaryota; Metazoa; Chordata; Amphibia; Anura; Strabomantidae
Description: partial small subunit ribosomal RNA
Source: RNAcentral